UCAACGGUGAAAGCGGCGCGCGGCGUCGCGCUGAGCGUCGCGCAGGUUUUAACGAGGCGCCGACGACGCAUCCUCGAGGGGUUGUAAUUCACGGGGUGUAACUCGACGUGCCGGCUAAGGAGAUACCCCCGGUGGAAUACUGGCGCGGAAGUAUGCGGACUUUGGUGCAGCCGGGGCUCCCGCGAUCCAUGACGCGUCUUUGAUUGGAGGCCUGCGCUUCCAAGAAAAGAACAGAGCCCCGGUCUUACACGAAGAUACGCGACACCUCUGACCUGUGACCGGCGACCCCGCCGGCCAACGUCACGAACGAAAAUUUACCUUCCAACCAGUCGCAGGGAUCCUCGUCGAUGAUGCUGCACACCGACUAAACUAUUUCCAAGUCCAGAAGGAAAUUAUGUCGAGGGUGCGUUUGGAGAUCGAUCAGGAAGUUGGCGCACUGGAACGCGUAAUAUGGAGCCCGCGAUUCAUCCGGUGACGUCCGAAACUCGGCACGGAGAGUUUCGAGCGGAACGACAACAUU
Hylaeus anthracinus is the source of this 520-nucleotide long non-coding RNA. RefSeq lists it as uncharacterized. The transcript has 3 exons. The record is from RefSeq and is a predicted model, not a curated record. NCBI's taxonomy places the organism in Eukaryota, Metazoa, Arthropoda, Insecta, Hymenoptera, Colletidae.